AGCGAACGCUGGCGGCAGGCCUAACACAUGCAAGUCGAACGAACCUUUCGGGGUUAGUGGCGGACGGGUGAGUAACACGUGGGAACGUGCCUUUAGGUUCGGAAUAACUCAGGGAAACUUGUGCUAAUACCGAAUGUGCCCUUCGGGGGAAAGAUUAAUCGCCUUUAGAGCGGCCCGCGUCUGAUUAGCUAGUUGGUUGAGGUAAUGGCUCACCAAGGCGACGAUCAGUAGCUGGUCUGAGAGGAUGAUCAGCCACAUUGGGACUGAGACACGGCCCAAACUCCUACGGGAGGCAGCAGUGGGGAAUCUUGCGCAAUGGGCGAAAGCCUGACGCAGCCAUGCCGCGUGAAGGAUGAAGGUCUGAGGAUUGUAAAAUUCUUUCACCGGGGACGAUAAUGACGGUACCCGGAGAAGAAGCCCCGGCUAACUUCG
RNAcentral lists this ribosomal RNA (432 nucleotides) under uncultured bacterium. Its description in RNAcentral is "partial 16S ribosomal RNA". It matches the Rfam family "Bacterial small subunit ribosomal RNA", at positions 29 to 505 of the family's 1533-position model. The record is from RNAcentral.